Molecule: ribosomal RNA, 423 nt
Filed under: uncultured Glomeromycotina
Lineage: Eukaryota; Fungi; Glomeromycota
Description: SSU rRNA
Rfam family: Eukaryotic small subunit ribosomal RNA
Source: RNAcentral
CGGUACGUACUGGCAUUGUUGGUUUCUCCCUUCUGACGAACCAUGAUGUCAUUUCUUUGGUGUUGUGGGGAAUCAGGACUGUUACUUUGAAAAAAUUAGAGUGUUUAAAGCAGGCUCACGCUUGAAUACAUUAGCAUGGAGUAAUGAAAUAGGACGUUUGAUUCUAUUUUGUUGGUUUCUAGGAUCGACGUAAUGAUUAAUAGGGAUAGUUGGGGGCAUUAGUAUUCAAUUGUCAGAGGUGAAAUUCUUGGAUUUAUUGAAGACUAACUACUGCGAAAGCAUUUGCCAAGGAUGUUUUCAUUAAUCAAGAACGAAAGUUAGGGGAUCGAAGACGAUCAGAUACCGUCGUAGUCUUAACCAUAAACUAUGCCGACUAGGGAUCGGAUGAUGUUAAUUUUUUAAUGACUCAUUCGGCGCCUUACG